UACGAAGGGGGCUAGCGUUGCUCGGAAUCACUGGGCGUAAAGCGCACGUAGGCGGAUUUCUAAGUCAGGGGUGAAAUCCUGGAGCUCAACUCCAGAACUGCCUUUGAUACCGGGAAUCUCGAGUCCGGGAGAGGUGAGUGGAACUGCGAGUGUAGAGGUGAAAUUCGUAGAUAUUCGCAAGAACACCAGUGGCGAAGGCGGCUCACUGGCCCGGUACUGACGCUGAGGUGCGAAAGCGUGGGGAGCAAACAGG
This 253-nucleotide ribosomal RNA is filed under the name uncultured bacterium. RNAcentral's name for it is "partial 16S ribosomal RNA". It matches the Rfam family "Bacterial small subunit ribosomal RNA", at positions 524 to 776 of the family's 1533-position model. The record is from RNAcentral.